ACAACAUUUGGAACGUCGGUCUGUCGAGCAACUAUAUAUACCUCUCGGUGAAAGAUCUUCCCUUUGUAGU
This 70-nucleotide microRNA precursor is filed under the name Bombyx mori (domestic silkworm). RNAcentral describes it as "mir-2774 microRNA precursor family". It matches the Rfam family "mir-2774 microRNA precursor family". Lineage: Eukaryota; Metazoa; Arthropoda; Insecta; Lepidoptera; Bombycidae. The record is from Rfam by way of RNAcentral.